This 113-nucleotide ribosomal RNA is filed under the name uncultured eukaryote. RNAcentral's name for it is "partial small subunit ribosomal RNA". It matches the Rfam family "Eukaryotic small subunit ribosomal RNA", at positions 1676 to 1791 of the family's 1831-position model. The record is from RNAcentral.
UCGCUCCUACCGAUUGGGUGAUCCGGUGAAUGAUUCGGACUUCGGCGUCCCUAGACAUUAGGCACGCUGGGGGAAGUUUUGUGAACCUUAUCACUUGGAGGAAGGAGAAGUCG